Calycina marina is the source of this 96-nucleotide non-coding RNA. Lineage: Eukaryota; Fungi; Ascomycota; Leotiomycetes; Helotiales; Pezizellaceae. The record is from the annotation of a GenBank genome assembly.
GCCGGAAUGGUGUAACGGUAGCACGUGGGCUUGUGGUGUUCACAUCGAACUUCAUACAAUCCGCCUUCAAUCGCGGUUCGAUUCCGCGUUCCGGCA